AAAUAAGCCGUUAAAACAAUAACCCACUAACCUGGUCAGGACAGAAAUGGAGCAGCCAAAUGAGGAAGUGUUGUGUUUGACGGUUUUUUAUUUGCA
This 96-nucleotide signal recognition particle RNA is filed under the name Mycoplasma sp. 1578d. RNAcentral's name for it is "signal recognition particle sRNA small type". It matches the Rfam family "Bacterial small signal recognition particle RNA". Rfam says of the family: The signal recognition particle (SRP) is a universally conserved ribonucleoprotein involved in the co-translational targeting of proteins to membranes. Lineage: Bacteria; Bacillati; Mycoplasmatota; Mollicutes; Mycoplasmatales; Mycoplasmataceae. The record is from RNAcentral. RNAcentral also lists the same sequence under 1 other name.